AUUAAAAUAAAAAUACAGCUGUAGGCUAUUUGUAUUUUAUUUGUAUUUUAUUUGUAAAAUACAGAACACCGUUAGUCUAACACACGAGACAUAUAUAUUGGCUGAUUAGAAAUUAGAAAGAAGUAUUUUGAAAAGUAAACAAAACAAAGACUUGACAGUAUUAGCCUCGAAAAUCCAGCAAACCAGCACAGCAACAUUGUAAAUGAAAAAAAAGAUGCAGUGGCUUUUCCCGCGUAAAAAAUCUCGUCUGCACUGAAAUGUUCAGAUCGUCACUCUGAAUGAAAUGCGUUCUCAUAAGUGCUUCUGAUGAGUGCUCUCAAAUUUUUAUUCGUUUUAUAUCUUGCAAUUGCAGAUAAAAAGUAAGUUUUGACUUUUAAAAUUGUUAUUUUAUAUAUUGCAUAGCCUAUAGCCUAUUUGGGGAGAGAGAAUGGUUUUCUGAAACCAUUUUUUAGCUUAAUUGAUGCAAGCCUUGUGUAAGCUUUGGUUAUUUUACGCUUUGAAACUUUAUCUUUAGUCAUAUAACGAAUUUACAUUUUGUAUGAUAGAAUGGAAAAGCAAAUGUAAAUUCCCCAGUCAUUGUUAUUAAGUGGACUGAUGAGAACCUUAUCAUCACUACGAUGUACAAAGCUUCUUCAAGCCUACAUCUAGUCUAGAUAACAUGGAUUUGAUCGACUACAUCUCUUUGUUGGAUUCUUGGAUUCAUAGUGAAAAGGUUAUCGUUUUCAGAUGGACCAGUUAGGAUGAUAAUAAAACCCCUUAUCAUUUCACCGAUUAUUCAAUUCCAGAGAAAUGUGAUGGAAAGAAAUUGAUAAUGAAGACUGGCUUCAUUCUCUUUCACUGUGAUGAUAUUUCCAAAAUUGCUUGACGCUUUGUAUCAGCCAGAAGAAUUGGCCAACAUGUCUCUCUCUGGCAAUGCCUGCCCGAGUAUGCCAGGCUCUAACCUCUAAGUCAAAGCCAGAAAUUCCCAAGGAGGCCUUGAAUGAAAUUAUAGGUUUUAGGCAACAUAUUGGGAUCAAGCAUACAAAGGAUCUAUUCUGACAGAGCAGCAAGUUAAAGAAGCUGUAAGUGCCAAACUCAUUGCGGCCCAAACAAGAGAGAAAAAGCAGAAAAACAAGAUGCUGGCAAACGAGGCAUCGUCACCACUUACUGCAGGAGUUCCUUCGAAAUUCAAAAGUUUGUUAUUUGUAUUGUUCUAUUGUCUACUCUUAGUUGUGUUGAGUGAUGUUUAUGUCUGUUCGUUAGAGUGCGUGAUUAUGCCCAACAUUAUGUGUCGUGUUUUGAAAUACAAAGUCGAAUUCAACUCAAAAUUUUAA
Long non-coding RNA from Daphnia pulex (common water flea), 1313 nucleotides. RefSeq lists it as uncharacterized. The record is from RefSeq and is a predicted model, not a curated record. The transcript has 4 exons. Lineage: Eukaryota; Metazoa; Arthropoda; Branchiopoda; Diplostraca; Daphniidae.